RNAcentral lists this long non-coding RNA (1074 nucleotides) under Gopherus evgoodei (Goodes thornscrub tortoise). Its description in RNAcentral is "lncRNA (ENSGEVG00005015871.1)". The record is from RNAcentral. Lineage: Eukaryota; Metazoa; Chordata; Testudines; Testudinidae.
GCCCCAUGUCUGACCCCUUCCCCCACCCACUCCACUGUCCAUCCCUCCCCCUUAACCCCCCUGUCAUCUGUCUGUCCAUCCCCAUCCACCCCCCAUCUAUCUAUCCCCAUCCACCCCCUCUAUCCUCAUACAUCCCCCAUCUACCCCAUCUAUCUACCCCAUCCACCCCCCAUCUAUCUAUCCCCAUCCACCCCCUCUAUCCUCAUACAUCCCCCAUCUACCCCAUCUAUCUACCCCAUCCACCCCCCAUCUAUCUAUCCCCAUCCACCCCCUCUAUCCUCAUACAUCCCCCAUCUACCCCAUCUAUCUACCCCAUCCACCCCCCAUCUAUCUAUCCCCAUCCACCCCCUCUAUCCUCAUACAUCCCCCAUCUACCCCAUCUAUCUACCCCAUCCACCCCCCAUCUAUCUAUCCCCAUCCACCCCCUCUAUCCUCAUACAUCCCCCAUCUACCCCAUCUAUCUAUCCCCAUCCACCCCCCAUCUAUCUAUCCCCAUCCACCCCCUCUAUCCUCAUACAUCCCCCAUCUACCCCAUCUAUCUACCCCAUCCACCCCCCAUCUAUCUAUCCCCAUCCACCCCCUCUAUCCUCAUACAUCCCCAUCUACCCCAUCUAUCUACCCCAUCCACCCCCCAUCUAUCUAUCCAUCCUCAUCCACCCCCUCUAUCCUCAUACAUCCCCCAUCUACCCCAUCUAUCUACCCCAUCCACCCCCCAUCUAUCUAUCCCCAUCCACCCCCUCUAUCCUCAUACAUCCCCCAUCUACCCCAUCUAUCUACCCCAUCCACCCCCCAUCUAUCUAUCCAUCCCCAUCCACCCCCUCUAUCCUCAUACAUCCCCCAUCUACACCAUCUAUCUACCCCAUCCACCCCCCAUCUAUCUAUCCCCAUCCACCCCCUCUAUCCUCAUACAGCCCCCAUCUACCCCAUCUAUCUACCCCAUCCACCCCCCAUCUAUCUAUCCCCAUCCACCCCCUCUAUCCUCAUACAUCCCCCAUCUACCCCAUCUAUCUACCCCAUCCACCCCCCAUCUAUCUAUCCCCAUCCACCCCCUCUAUCCUCAUACAUCCCCCAUCU